CGUAGGACCCAAGCGUUAUCCGGAAUUACUGGGCGUAAAGAGUUGCGUAGGCGGCUGUGUAAGCAAGGUGUGAAAGCGUGUGGCUCAACCAUACAUCCAUGCCUUGAACUGCACAGCUAGAGAAUGGAAGAGGUGGCUGGAAUUCCUAGUGUAGGAGUGAAAUCCGUAGAUAUUAGGAGGAACACCGAUGGCGUAGGCAGGCCACUGGUCCAUUUCUGACGCUCAGGCACGAAAGCGUGGGGAGCGAACGGGAUUAGAUACCCCGGUAGUCCACGCCGUAAACGAUGGAUGCUAGCUGUUAACCGUAUCGACCCGGUUAGUAGCGAAGCUAACGCGUUAAGCAUCCCGCCUGUGGAGUACGGCCGCAAGGCUA
This 373-nucleotide ribosomal RNA is filed under the name uncultured organism. RNAcentral describes it as "bacterial SSU rRNA". It matches the Rfam family "Bacterial small subunit ribosomal RNA", at positions 526 to 896 of the family's 1533-position model. The record is from RNAcentral.